This 1190-nucleotide ribosomal RNA is filed under the name Bacillus subtilis. Its description in RNAcentral is "bacterial SSU rRNA". It matches the Rfam family "Bacterial small subunit ribosomal RNA", at positions 36 to 1204 of the family's 1533-position model. Lineage: Bacteria; Bacillati; Bacillota; Bacilli; Caryophanales; Bacillaceae. The record is from RNAcentral.
CUGCCGUGCGGCAUGCUAUACAUGCAGUCGAGCGGACAGAUGGGAGCUUGCUCCCUGAUGUUAGCGGCGGACGGGUGAGUAACACGUGGGUAACCUGCCUGUAAGACUGGGAUAACUCCGGGAAACCGGGGCUAAUACCGGAUGGUUGUUUGAACCGCAUGGUUCAAACAUAAAAGGUGGCUUCGGCUACCACUUACAGAUGGACCCGCGGCGCAUUAGCUAGUUGGUGAGGUAACGGCUCACCAAGGCAACGAUGCGUAGCCGACCUGAGAGGGUGAUCGGCCACACUGGGACUGAGACACGGCCCAGACUCCUACGGGAGGCAGCAGUAGGGAAUCUUCCGCAAUGGACGAAAGUCUGACGGAGCAACGCCGCGUGAGUGAUGAAGGUUUUCGGAUCGUAAAGCUCUGUUGUUAGGGAAGAACAAGUACCGUUCGAAUAGGGCGGUACCUUGACGGUACCUAACCAGAAAGCCACGGCUAACUACGUGCCAGCAGCCGCGGUAAUACGUAGGUGGCAAGCGUUGUCCGGAAUUAUUGGGCGUAAAGGGCUCGCAGGCGGUUUCUUAAGUCUGAUGUGAAAGCCCCCGGCUCAACCGGGGAGGGUCAUUGGAAACUGGGGAACUUGAGUGCAGAAGAGGAGAGUGGAAUUCCACGUGUAGCGGUGAAAUGCGUAGAGAUGUGGAGGAACACCAGUGGCGAAGGCGACUCUCUGGUCUGUAACUGACGCUGAGGAGCGAAAGCGUGGGGAGCGAACAGGAUUAGAUACCCUGGUAGUCCACGCCGUAAACGAUGAGUGCUAAGUGUUAAGGGGGUUUCCGCCCCUUAGUGCUGCAGCUAACGCAUUAAGCACUCCGCCUGGGGGAGUACGGUCGCAAGACUGAAACUCAAAGGAAUUGACGGGGGCCCGCACAAGCGGUGGAGCAUGUGGUUUAAUUCGAAGCAACGCGAAGAACCUUACCAGGUCUUGACAUCCUCUGACAAUCCUAGAGAUAGGACGUCCCCUUCGGGGGCAGAGUGACAGGUGGUGCAUGGUUGUCGUCACCUCGUGUCGUGAAAUGUUGGGUUAAGUCCCGCAACGAGCGCAACCCUUGAUCUUAGUUGCCAGCAUUCAGUUGGGCACUCUAAGGUGACUGCCGGUGACAAACCGGAGGAAAGGUGGGGGAUAAAGUCAAAUAAUCAAGCCCCUAA